This 496-nucleotide ribosomal RNA is filed under the name uncultured bacterium. RNAcentral's name for it is "partial 16S ribosomal RNA". It matches the Rfam family "Bacterial small subunit ribosomal RNA", at positions 29 to 507 of the family's 1533-position model. The record is from RNAcentral.
AUGAACGCUGGCGGCGUGCCUAAUACAUGCAAGUCGAGCGAACGGACGAGAAGCUUGCUUCUCUGAUGUUAGCGGCGGACGGGUGAGUAACACGUGGAUAACCUACCUAUAAGACUGGGAUAACUUCGGGAAACCGGAGCUAAUACCGGAUAAUAUUUUGAACCGCAUGGUUCAAAAGUGAAAGACGGUCUUGCUGUCACUUAUAGAUGGAUCCGCGCUGCAUUAGCUAGUUGGCAAGGUAACGGCUUACCAAGGCAACGAUGCAUAGCCGACCUGAGAGGGUGAUCGGCCACACUGGAACUGAGACACGGUCCAGACUCCUACGGGAGGCAGCAGUAGGGAAUCUUCCGCAAUGGGCGAAAGCCUGACGGAGCAACGCCGCGUGAGUGAUGAAGGUCUUCGGAUCGUAAAACUCUGUUAUUAGGGAAGAACAUAUGUGUAAGUAACUGCGCACAUCUUGACGGUACCUAAUCAGAAAGCCACGGCUAACUACGUG